This 22-nucleotide non-coding RNA is filed under the name Arabidopsis thaliana (thale cress). The record is from RNAcentral. Lineage: Eukaryota; Viridiplantae; Streptophyta; Magnoliopsida; Brassicales; Brassicaceae.
GGAUUUGUGGGCUACUAUUGGG